AUUCAUUUAUUUAAUUUUAUUAGAAAGUAAGACAGUUAACUUUGGGUUAGUUACUUUAUUGACGCUUGGUUUUUUGGCAUCUUGUGAAUAGUUGAGGCUGGUGUAGGAGAAAUGAAAUACUGUGAUGAAGAAACCCACCACUCUGGCAAUAACUAUCACUUCCUUUCGUAGCCAGGUGGAAUAUACUGACGUUCUUACCAGUGAGCAGUGAAAAAAAGUCAGACUUCUUUGUAGUGCAGAGUAUGAUACCGAUGGCGAGGUGGAGGGGAAGUUUGUGUUGUACAGAAACACUUUUUUUUUUCAUGCACCACAGAUGGAACCAGGCUAUAAACCUCAUUCUGUCCAAGUCAGAGACUAUUCUGGCUUUCCAUCACUUACUGAUCUCAGUACCAUCAGAGAGGACAGGACAAAUCGGGUGCUUUUUGUGACAAGGAAGGGAAAUGUGACUAUCGUGGUGUAACUUCCUUUGUCAGCUGUAUCCCUCAGCCUGUAAAUAGCAUGCCUUUAACGAGUGGGGAGUUGCAGAUUUUGGGGAGACAAGUUUAAAAUUCUUCAGGGACGAUGAAAAUAAACUGCAUGGAAUCUGCUCCGAGCGUGGGUCAGAACAAAAUCUAAAAAGGGAGUGAUUGCAAAUCUCUAAGUAUAACUCAACGGAAGUUGUUGAGGAAGUAGGUGAGUGUGAGAAUGAGUGGCUGACGGUUACUGGAAAUGGAAUAGGUUUGAGGAAUGCUGUAGUGCAGUACAGCUGUGGUAGUUAACUGGUGGUGUAGACGUCUCAGUACAGUGGGAAUAGAUGGGGUGUCUUGAAGCCUGUGAAUAACUAUACACGUACAUAAUUCAGGACCUGUCAAACCCUGGCCACCGUGUCUAACCUGUGGUGAUGCAGAAGCUGAUGUAAAAUGGAGUAAAACGCGGCACAACUGGAGUUGGGAGUUUCACUUACUGAUGCCUUAGGUUUUUGGCAACUCUUUGCAUUAGUUUUGUAACCAGAUCCAAGGAUCUGCUUCAGUGCCUACAUCCUAAUGCACACCCACAGGCAGCAGAGGAAAAGCUCAGAGAAAAAGAGCAUGUCCUUCCAAGAAAGUGGGAUGGAGGAAGGGGAAAGAGCUGUACUAGAUUGCUGUGUCUGGUUAUUUACUGUAGUUUCUAAAUCCAUUAUCUGGGGCAACAGGGUGAAAGACAAGUGGAAAGCAGGUUCCCUCCCCAGUGUCUGUCUUCCUGGCACAGUUAUUUAUGAGGCAACCUGUAUUACCAGCAUGAGAUUUACUACUGAAAAGCUGGACCGAGAGUGAGUUAACGGCUGACAAGGUCAGUUGCAGCACAGCAUCCCAGUACCCCAGCAUCACAAGUACCCCAGUAGCAUCUUUUCAGAAAAAGGCUCAUGAAUGAGGGUUGCUUUGUUGUUUUUUUUCUUGUCUCAGUAGUAAGCAUAUGCCUUAAGCAAAAAGAAGUCUUUAUUAGGGUUUUCAAAAACAGUUGGUGGAAAUGUCACUUAUAUUUGUGUUGCUGAAAAUGAGAGCUUCUCUAGAGGUACGAGCCUUACAGAGUCUGAACUGGGUCUGAACACCUAUGUGUACCUUCCCCUCCCCUCUCCAAAGGAGACUAACCUUUCCAGAAAUACCAUGCAGCAGUGGAAGACCAAUGGCUCAUUCAUUAUUUAUAGUUUGAUAAAACCAGGUUUCACUUCAGCAUAAUUAAGAUGCUGCUGCCCCUUCUUCAGGCUACCUGAAGAUUGUCCUAUUGCCUUAACAAGCUCCCCUUCCCUCCAGGCAGCUAGAAGGUGUCAGCCCUUUCUGCCAAGCUGCAGGUACACCUUUUAUGAAGGAUACAUCUGUGACAGUAUAUGCGGUUCCUUCCAAAUCUGAAAGCAUGCUUGGGCAGGCAGCAUGCAGAGGGGAGGAGAAAAAGAGCAGUUUGAGAUGCUGUGAUACGCAGCACUCAACUAUUAAUAUGCACACAUGCAGAAAAAUAAACCAGUGCUUGUUUCAGACAUUUGCUGGGUGUGUGUUGAAUAUGUAUAUAUGGACACGCACAUAUGUGUGGAGACAAGCAGAUAUUACCGACUGUAGUUGGCUUUGUCAAAGUGUUCUGGAGUCCUCAAUAAAUAAUAGUAGUAGUAGUACAAUAUUAUCAUUCAGUGGGUUUUUCCUCCUUGUUCAGAUGUGUUUUAGUAGCAGUCCUGUUUUGUAAUUCUUUCAGAGGAGCAUCUCAAAGACUUUCACAGGCUUCACACUGCUUUAUACAUUCUACACGAGACAAAGGCAAAAAGGGAAGAAAUCCCUGCCUGCCCACAUGAAAGGGAACUUCCUCCCUAGUCUUAAGACCUUUAAUUUAGUCUGCAGGAACAAGGCAAGGCUGGAUGUCACAGACCUGAUUUUUCACAACGUACAGCUUACAAAUUUAAGGCAUUUCUGGGGCUUCCAUACUAAGCAAAACAGAUCUCUGCAUGACCCUGUCUGCAUCAUAAUUUUUUUCUUUUGUUUUCAAAUCGUGGAGUCAAACUCCUGGUUCAUCAGGCUGUGGUCUGGUCUCCCCUGGAGAAAAUAUUCCUGUUCUACAUGCAGAAGAUCUGAGCUUCAAUGAUCAUCCUCACAGUCAAGGAAUGAGUCAGACCAAGGCCAGGUGCAGGACAGAGGGGUGUGACAGUACAAGUGGUGACCUGUAAGGGGAAUUGAAAUGAGUGAACUUCUAAGGUUUCAAAAAAGCUUCCUCGGCCUGGGGGAGCGUGUAACUGCAUCUGUUUGUUGUGCAGUUCUGUUACUGUGUGGUGUUGCGUAGGUCAGGUAUGGACAAAUGUGCCCUAACUUGCAGCCCGAGCCCAUCGUUGGUGUGUAAUGCUUUCUGUGUCAGCAGCAGUGCUGACCUGGGCUGAGUAAAGGUGUAGGGCAGAUGCUGCACUGCUUGGUGAAGUUGAUGCUUGUGACUAGAAGAUGGUUCUGGAGAUGCUACUGCUAUUAUGGCCAGCAAAAACACGUACUUCCCUCAUGAGUUUAAAGCAUAAUGGAGAUUAUAUUUUAUUCCCUUGAUUAGUAGCAGAAUAAAAACUCCAGGUUGCAUUUCCUGAAUUGAAUGUAGCCUUUAGUCCUGCUAUUGUAACCUGCAGUAUAAGUAGCAAAGUUAAAAGCCAGGUACUCUGGGUCUGCAACCCCUGUGCUGUCAGCCCCCCCGCCCCCAAAACCCAAAGGUAGGCUGGACACUGGACUGUGGCAUGCUGCCGGUAAAAGCCUGAAAAGCCUUUUUGUCCCAUUUAGCUCUAUUUGAGCAAUGGGACAGUCAGGCCUGCUUGACAUUUGAGUCACUAAUUUCAAUUCCUAUUAAGGGUAAUCUGUCAGAGCACUCGCCAGCAUUUCUCCAGCUGUGCUGAGCUGUUGAACAGCCGCCUAUGGUUCUAACCUGUUUUUUAACAUGGUCCAGUUGUUUGAGGGUUUUGGGGGUAAGGGGGAGGCCAGGAUUUUGUUUGCUCGUUUGUUUAACGUAGGGAGAAGCAGCUUUUCCAGACAAUUUGGGGCAGGCCAGGUGCUAGCUAGUGUCUGUGAUGGCUGAAAUGUGGCUUGUUGAUGAGGUCUGAGAGGUCCAUCUCUCUAGCCUUUCUGUUUGCAGGCUGGCCUCCCUGAAGGCACACCAGCCUCUGGUUAAUUCUUGCUGCUUUGAGUGAGUUUUGAUAGAGCUCGUUCCCAGCAUGGGUUUGGUGCCAACCAGGAUUCUCCGAAACAGUGCUGAGCCACACGCUGGCAGUCAGCACUGGCGAACAGGUAUUGGUUCGGAUGCAGCGAACCGUGGUUUGGGGACAAGGUGGUUGAACACUGCCCCAGGCACACCGGGUGAUGGGAUGGGCUGUGCCAGCCUUCAGUUUAUGGUUCUGCCAUACUGACCCACAUUUUCUGUGCUGCUUGGGUCUAACAAAGGAGGCUAAAAACAAAGCACAAGAGAUCUUUAAUUUUCAGGUUACAGAUUUUCUGGAGAAAUUUGGAGAUAGUUCAUAACAGCGCAACAUCACUAAAAUACUUGGGAUUUAUUCACAAGAGCUGUUUUUUUUUAAAUCCCAGAACUUUGUUUCAGACUGUUUAGUAAAAUAUAACACUUACUUGCUAUUGCUUAUCCUAAACCUAUUCUGAACUGAAGGGAGCGGUUUUAUCAUGGUGACCAUUCUAGGAGUGCUAAAUAUUAGGGCUGCAGUUUCUAAUCUUGUGAUUCCUGUCUGCUUAUCUGAAAUCACUUUGAUGUGCCUGGAAUCAUACAGUUUUCCUCUACCUUUCCUUCGUGAGAGUUCCUAGGCAAAACCACAGCCUGUUUGGAGAGCGUGGGAACUCCUGAACCACUGAAUCCUAUGGAGGAUUUCAGAUUUCAGAAGGAACGACGAGAUGAAACUGGGCAAACUUACAGGACCCAGGUCAUGGAAGAGCAGUAGGAAGGUGCAGCAAUGAAAACUCAUCAAACUUAGCCAUACAUAGCUUGACUGUGCAUUACAAAACUAACUAUGCUAAAAAAAAUUAUCCAGCGAAGUAGCUGAACCAGAAAAGUAAUUUUCUGUUCCUAGCUUCUGUACCUAAGCAUCACCUUAGACUAUAAAGUAUUGAUUGCAGGUCGUGAAAGCAGUCACAGGGAGAUUAUUGUUGUGAUUUGUAUAGUCAGUCCAGGAACAUGGUGUUCCCCUGACACUACCAUUCUAGCUACUUUAGGUAAUGUCAAGGGAAGUCAUGUUUUUCUUUGUGUCGUUCAAGAGACAAAAGAAUGUCCUGUGCUAGUGAAGAGCCCAAGGAAACAAAUACUGCCAGAUGUUCACUGAAGUAUAACCUGCCAUUAAACCGGACAUUUGAAAAAAUGCCUUCAGCACCCUGCCAUAUUUAACACUAUCCACAACAGAAGGACCUGGCAAAAAAGCUGGAGAAAAGCAUUGACCAGACCUCCUGGUGUGACUCCCCUGAGCACGUGAGCUGUUCGGUUUGUACCUGCUCUCAGGAUUCCUAUCGCUCUGUCACUGAAACUUCACCGUGUGUUUGAGAGCCAUCGUCAGUGUGUAAGAAACAUUUGAACUGUGUAUCCGUGUACAAAAUUGGUGGCUGCUGUUGCACACCUACUAUGCACCAUUUGCACUGGAUGGAGAGUGUUUGUGUGGGGAGCUGAAGAGCUUAACUCAGAAAUAGCUGUCUUCCUUGGAAAGCUUAAGGUCUGAAUCACACUGUGUUGGCUCAGUUUUUAGCAGACAAGCUAUCACAUAUGCCUCCCUGUAGGCGAAGAGUCGUCACUGGCAUCAGGAUUAGCAGCCAGGUUCUUUACCUUCGAAAACUAGAGAAUUAAGAUACUGAAGGCUAAGGCUGACUUUAGGUGCAGUCAGGGCUGGAGGGUUUGGGGAGGGGGCUAGCAACACUGAGUAGGAAGGGUCUGCUCCUGUCUGUGCUUGGCCUGCACUGGUCCCCAUGUCUCUCUCCAUCCAAAAGGAGCCAGGUAACGUGCUCCCAGAUUUAACUUUGUUAUUGCAGCGAUGGGGACAAAGUAAGUUAUUUUGCUCAACAUCCUUGACGCAUUCACUGCUCCACUGCUGCCUGUGAAGCCGAGAAGACUAGAGCCAGCCUUAACGUAGCCAUGGCUGAUGUUGCCCCGAGUCAGCUGAAAAUACUAGUGACACGGACAAAUAGGAACACCGGAGAAAAGUGUGGAAACCUGGGAGGGGACAAGACAGCUACUGAGCUGAGGUACCUGAUACUGAAACCCUGCGAGAGACAACACUAGCUUGACAGACACUGGUGAACUUGGAGCAGCCUGCGGAGUCCACCUGACGACUACAGGACAGAAAUGCAAAUAUAUUUGGACACAUUUACUAUUUUUUUUUCUGGAACACAGUGUUAAGUUGAUGCCUAUCCUUAAAUACAUGCCACUCCUGAUUCCUAGCAGUCCAUAGGAAGUCUUGGGGGGAAAAGGGGAUGAGAGAAGUAGUGCAAAGUUUUUUGUAGUUAGCUCAAGAAACAAAUUAUAGAUACGUAUUUUAAAACGCCUCAGAGACACAGGAUUUUUUGAACCUACAGGUUUGGACUCAGUGGCCCGCUACUGCAGUAACAUUAAUUUUCAAGCCUCAUCUCCAAGUUCAGGACUCAAGCACUGCCACACUUGCAAGAAAUGUGGACUGGGAGUACCUGAACCAACUGGCCGCUGCCAAUGAGUCAGGGGAAUGACCUUGCAGCAGGCAGCUCACGGUACCUCUCUCGGAGCUGUGCCAGUAUAAACGGCACUGGCGUCUCUGAAUGCUGCUGAAACCAUUUUGUGAGAUUCCCGCGUUGGCCUUUUCUACUGCUGUCUUUGCACCAAAACUUCUGAGUGGGUGAGAACAGAAUAGGGCACUCCCUUCUUGUUCCAUAACAAGGGCAUCUUCGUGACCUACGCUCGGGGCUGUCUCUAUAAAGAUACAUGGAGGAGAGGGGCAACUCGUAUGUCUUGCCUGUACCUCUGUCCACUAGCAUCAGCGAUAGAUACUUAGAACUGACUUAAAUCUUACCCUCCCCUCCAGCCACACCCAUAUUAAAUUGUAAGAAAACACCGUGAGCAAGUUUUAGAAAAAAUACACGGCAGCAGUGAAUUUUCUGGAUAGGUCUGGAAGUGAUUUGUAGGAGGAGUGAGGGCAGAAUACUUGGCAUUUGGACAUUUUAAUGAAUUUUCCCAAAUAAGAAAAGAAAAACAUUUGCUCAUAGACUUUAAGCUUUUCACAGCAUCAGUAAAGCUCCUGACACAGAGCCCAACGCUGUAUUUGUAUAACAUGGAAAUUAACAGCAGCAGCAGCAGCAGCAGCGCUGCAGGCUUAGAGUCUACUCUGUGAGCAACAAAAUGGCUAGGGGUGCUGUCGUGUUCAUUCGGAUUCCAAAUGGUGAAAUAGGUGAGUGCCGAUAUAUCUGCCACUUCAGGUAUGGUUGAGAACUUUAACAUCAAUAUUAAAUUAAUGUUUCUAACCAUAUUCAAGCUUGUGCCCUCAUCAGCUCAACUCCGUAAAGCACAGACAGGAACCAACAGCAAAAUCGGACUGCGUCACAGAUGUAACAUGACCAUCGGCAAAACAAGUGCAGAAAGAGAUCAUGGCUGUCUCGUCAUUCAGAGAGCCUUCCUUCGACAGCAAAGAAGACUAAGACGGUAAUGCUUUUAAAUUUACAUUGUGAACAUUUGCAAUCCUUAACUUCCUUUACCAAAUUUUGUGGUCCUUGAACAGUCAAAACUCCCAAGAAAAUCGCAUGUAUUUUGCCAACAGACCCAACGCAUUAACGAACACUGCGUCAUAAUGCCGCACUAAGGCUGAGAGAUAGACUAAACCCCACUUUACAAAGGAAGGAAAACAAAAAUACAGAAAAUGAAUCAGCUUACACAAUGUCACACACACAAGUGUCAGAGGGAGGAAGAAAUCACAGCUUUCCCAAGUCCUUUUGUAGGAAUAUGCAGAAAAACAUUAUGGAACACUUAGCCACGUACAGCUAACAUACAGUAACAAUACCAUCCCUAUGCACAAAAUCGCUGCUGUCCUACAGAAAUAUGCCAUGUCCCCUUCUUAGCCUUGUUUCUUGCCAGUCCCACAGAUUUACCUGCUGACAGUAACCUCAAUUCCUGAGUAAUGAGAUUUACAGCUGAUGUUUAACAUUGAAAUAACUCCUCUUUUACCUCUGUCUCUUUACCCUCCCUGCAUUUAGUCACGAUUAAACCCUCACUGUGGCAAAAAGAUGGUAGCAAGAGGAAUAAAACCAAGCGCAUCCCUACGCUGAAGACAGAUACUCAAAAAGUGCGCAUAUGCCUAAGCGAGUAUACUGCUACCCGUUGCACCUCCUUUCGAAGGGCUGAGAAAUGUCACGGAGAAGCACUAGCUUUGCGAAUUAAUGGGGUCCUCCACCCCACAACUGUCACGGGCAAAAUUGCAAAGGGUUGUCCGUUCAGACGGCACUCGGUAAAACAGACUCAACCCACCCGUCUUCCAUGCAACUGAGCAUCAUUCCUUAGUCCGGCUCCUGGCUGUACAGAAUUACCUCCUUGACUGCCUUGUACUGUUCCUGUAUGUGUGCGUAUUUAUGCCUGUCCAUCUUGCUGCAGGGACCACCGUUGUUGCUGCUAUUCCUGUUGUUCCCCUGCUCUGCGGAACUGGCGCUGCAGGAGGCAAGGAUGCUCCAAGGGAGCCAGCUACAGCCAGUGAAGGCUCAGUGAGUCAGGAGGGGUUGUGACGACUGCAGUAAGAGUCUGAAAUUCCCUAUGGAAUCUGGCAGAAAAGGAGGGGAGGCAAGAAAGGUGGCGAUGGGAAAGAGGGAAAAAAAGUGGGGAGUGGCAACUACUGGCUGUUUUCUUUUUCCCUCCCUGUUCCUACCACCGCACUGCUGUUGGAAAUGGCAUCCUUCCCUCUACGGUACUGCGCAAAGGAAUGGAGUCGGGGAUAAAACCGCAGCGCGUACGGCCUUUGAAACCAACCAACCAAAAUUCGGCCGGGUUGAGUGUUUGUGUGUAAAUACAGCUCUUCUCUCUCUCCCUCUCUCUCAGACUGCCGUUCAGCGGACAGGCUACUGCUGAAGUAAAGGGACGACGGACGCAGUGUGUCUGAGCCACUUCUGAACCCAGUGGUUGUUGCUUAACAACCGGACCUGACGCUUGAGAUGUCAACGAGUGAGUAAUACAGAUUAAAUGCUUAUGCUGCCAUUUCCCUAAACUUGUUUAAGCCUCGAUAUGAUGAAAGGCUAUGGUAUAAUGUUCCAUGCCAUAUGAGAAAGCAAAGUUACCACUCCACUGAAUAAUCAGGAGACUUCCUCAGCCAGAAGGACCAAGCUCAAAGCUGGUUGUGUCCUCAGCAGUUCCAGGCAGAGUUGCCAUCUUCCUUGCUGCUCGCUUUAAGAAGAGAGGUGAAAAAAUAGUAUAGUAAAUGGUUAAGAGAGAAAAAUGUUCUCCCCUUCAUUUCCUCAUCCUCUCUCUGGAGCUGCUCUCUGCCCUCAGUCUCCCAUUCAUCCCUACCCAGUCCUUCCCAGUCUAUCAGUCCCUGCUUUCUAAUGCUUCUGUUUCUUCUGCAGAUCUUCACAGGCCCGUCACUUAGGGUUGUCUUCAUCUCUCCCUGAUGUUACCGAGCCUGUGGCAGACUCACACUUACGCAAACAAAAGCUGAGUUUGGGCAAGAGUCUUUUUCACUUCUUUAAUUAUUUCCCACGACAUAAUUUCCAGGUGCAAUCCCUGCCCCGAGCAGUUUACAGCCCUGCUAGCACUUAACCACCUUAUAAGGGAGAAGGAAGAAAGCAAGCAAGCCAGAAGAGCCUCAAACCCCAGUACUUUCCCCUUCCCCGUGGUUUGCAGCUCUGACACGUCAUCGUCGCAACUGCACGGCAAAACGAAACCACCCCAGCACCCGUGCGGGGCACCCAUGGGUGUGAGAUCGGGUACCCGCCGCGCCGUGGAGUGAGCUGCUGCUUUGCUGCCUGCUGGCCCUGCCUGGGGGGCGCCCGGCAGCCCCCCCGGAGCGGCGGGGGGGGCAGGCAGCAAGCAGGCAGCGGGCAGAGAGCUGCCGGCACUUUGAAGCAAGUGAAAUCAACGUUGAGAUUUGACACCCAGUCCUCGACCAAUCCGGGAGGGCUUUUCACCUGCCAUCACCUCCUCCGCCAAUCGGACGGCGCCUUUGGGCUGAGAGCCCUCCCCGGCCAAUGGGGAGCCAGCUCUGCCACUUAGUUAAUGAUGCAGCAGUACAGGGAAGACUAUCACAUGUGAGCUGGAAGGCUGCCAACAUGGAGACACGGAGAGAGCAAGCGUCUGAAGAGCCUGAGCUAUUUUGGGAUUUGUCUGUACUACACUGAAAAUGACACCUGUUACGCACAGACACAAAUGAGAAGAAUUGCAAGCUCCUGGUUUCUCAGAUACGAUUCUACAAAAAAAAAAAGAAAAAGAUCUUAUGAGCUAGGGACCUGGGAGGGCAGCACCGGCUCUCGCUGUGGGGUGAAGGGGGGGAUGACCCUUGCCAGUUGAACAGUCAGACACCAGUACAAACAAUGUAAAAGGUCUGCAAUACAUGGUUUCUUAUGCAGUCAAACCCAUGGGACUUCAAGCCUCACAUACACACUUUGUGGCCAAAGCUGCAAGCAUUAACUACUUCAGUUAACGAAGGUAAAAUUGUAAGGGCGCUAUGGCUACUUAAAUGAGUCACCCAGCAGUGCUACUUGCUAAAGUAGGCCGGUGUUUUAUGUGAUGUUAAGCUGUCUGUGCUGGUUUCGGUUACCCCUGAGUUAUCUCCGAAGCUCCCAACGUGCAGGGUCAGAGCGGAUUUUCCGCAUUCCCCGUUUUCCCCAUCGGCGUGCAGCUGAUUUACAAUCCUCGGUGCUGUGCAGGCGAGACAGAGGCCAUCUCGCUGGACCCGCGAGACCCAGCGGAGCUCUGAACAUGAUUGCGUACAGCACUGGAGCAAGAUAAAAGGCUCGGAGCCUCAGAAGUGGGACAGUUGACUGGUGCUUUUAGCUCACAGCGAUUUUGUCAGUCUUGUGGUAUAUUAAGAAAGUAAAACGGAGCUUUGAUUUAUUUAAAAUUAUAUCUUUCUGGUUGCUUUCAGGGGAAAGGCGGCAUUUAUUUCAUGGUUUACUUUCAUUUGAAAAUCACCAGCCAUGGAACGUUUUUCCCUUUACCCGACGGUAAGUAUUUGCUUUAUGGUGGUGCUCAGACUCCCAAGAAGACUCAAAAGCCGCACUGUGCUGGGAAACACUCAAGUGCAUGACUAAGAAAACAUGGCACAAUGGGAAGCUUCAGCACUUGCAGCUGAAUAAUGAGGCCCCAAAAAGUCAUCUUCCCCCAGUCUUGGCCAGGAUUUGGCAUUUUCUGGGAGCUGGAGUAAGGAAGGAGAGGCUGUGAUUCCGUGGUAGAAAUCUAGGCUGCUUUUCACUUUUAAGUGGAGCCUGUGUACAUGUUUUGUUACUGGAGGCGGGGGUGGGGGUUGCUUUUGCUUUUUCUCCAAACUGAAAGCAGGAGACAGAACUUCAGAUUUGCCAGAACUGACUGUGGGGAAGCAAAGACCUGGGCUAGAAAGCAAGCUUGGUAAAUGGAAAUAAUCCAUGGCUGUGGUUGGAGGCAGAGGAGGUGAGUCUCGCUGUGCAAAUGCUGGUGUAGGAUUCUGUUCCAAAGCGAGGGGUGACCUGACGGCUGACUGCAACUGUGCCAUGGGUGCUUAUAGAAAAGAAAGUUUUGAUAGUGCUAGACAAUAUAACACGGUAUCGCAGCUUAGAACGGGAACGGUUCAGGCUGGAUGUUGGGGGGGGGGGGGGGGAAAUUCCUUCAGGAAGGUGGGAGGGGUUGAACCCCCAGCCAUCACUACUGAGUCUGCUGCCAGCUGGCAGUUUCCCUCAGCAUCUUGAAAGGAUCGGGAGCAAUUCAUCAGUGAGCAGAGGAAGUGUGGGCAUAAAGGUGCAUCCUCAGCCCCCUGGCAUCUCCCAUGCUAUUUUCUGCUGUCAUGCUACAAUGACCUUAAUAGCAAUAAGAUGCGAAAUCUGUCGUUACAAAAAUCUAACCCUUGUGCACGUCAUUCUUGGUAUUGUGGGUGACAAAAUAACCUCAGCCAUCCACUCAGGAAGGUCCUUGGGCUUUUAUAAUGAGGAACGAAACCCUCGUGGUACCACCUGCACUUUCAGCUUCCUGCUGGCAAAGCCUUGGCUCAAGUUUUGGUUUAAAUGCCAUCAGCCACACCUUCCUCCCAUGCAGGAAGCUGCGAUUGUUAAAAUCAGGGCAUGUUCCUGUUUAACUAAAAGCUGAGAUCAAAUAAUCCAAAGGCCUUGACUAUGCCAAACAAAUUCCUGCCCGGGACGUAGCAAGUCUGUGCAGCUGUAAAUCUGUAACCCCUCGACCUCAGUAUCCCUGUAAAUGAUGUCUUGGCACAUCACCUCGGGGAGCGGUUGGUAGUAAACAGAAGGAGCAAAAAAUCAGGCAAAGGUGGAUGGGGGAAUGGGAAAGGUAAUAAUAAUAAUAAUAAUGCUUAGCACAGUAUUCUUCAGUUUACCAACUAAAAGUCCUGGAAGUUGCUUUAAAAUGCAAAAUAGUAUGUUUUUCAAAUGCUGACACGGUAUUACUUUUUCAAAAUGUGAAAAUUGUCAGUGCUGCCUCUUCCUCACAAAACGCUUAACCUCAGUGAAACGAUGGCUUCCAACAAAAGUCUUAUUUCAGCACAGAAUUCCCAGCCAGUUCCAUUCAAGGAAUACCAGCAGAAAGAGGAACACGACAGCCCAUCUGCCGGGACUGCUUCCCCUACCCCUCACCAGUCAAGAGGAUUUUUUAAAUUUCCUUUUAAUCUGAAUGUUGCAAUAGAAAAUAGUCCUUAAAAAAACCCCAACAGCUUACUUAACUCUUUGCUAAGUAAGAAACUGGCAAGUUUUUAAUGUUUACUUAUUUAAAUUUAAUAUAAUUUUGCAUAUGGGAAGGCUGAAUUAAAUAAAGGUUAAAUAUUAAAUAAUUUGACCCACAUUGUAUCCGGAAUCAGAGUUAAAGCUGAUCUGGAAAUCUGGGAGUUACUUGCUCCCAGAUUUUACUCAAGUUGAGCCUCUUGCUUAAUUAUAGUCUUUAUUGCACAGAAGGCCCCCAGUCAAUUAGUGAGACGUAACCAUCACCUGAAACACAAACUGCCGGAGCAGUGUGGCUUUUAGAGGAAAUUGAUAGAAAAUGAUUUCAAGGAGGCACUUUCAUUUUUCAAAGGAAAAACAGAAAGAAGACUUUGAAGUCUUCUUCCAGUUUUCACACGUAUGUGGACAACACCGGACAAUUCACGGUCUCACUGUGCUAUCCUAACAGUCACCGGGACAUGCAGAUUUCCAGAAAACUGGAAAUUUGCAACUCCAAAAUAGAAAUAUUUCUUAAUGCGGCUACCAAACUCCAUGAAGGGAUAUUCUACAUGAUGUACUGCGCUUCAGGUUUUGUUCCACAGUGACCACAGUAGGAAAGUUAGAGUCACGCAAACGUUUAGGUUUAGACUUUUUUUUUCCCCCUGAAAGGUUUAUUUUUCUAGACAAGCUUCAUUAGCGAGUACCAGAGAAAUGACCAGCACUUGCUAUUCCCAGUGUGUACACACGCUGUUGCUCUCACUGGGGUCCCAUCCAACAGGAGGAAGAGCAGGCAGGUGUAUAAAUAGCAAUAAAACCCUUUCUGAAACAGUUUUAAAGCUGGUUCCGCGCACCUGCUUGGGUAUGCACAACGGACUGCGCACCAAGAGCGCGGUGGGGUUUUCUCGUAGUGCUUUUCAGGGGUGGUUUGAGGGAAUUGGAUGGAACAGCUGGCGGGGACAUCAAAAGACUGCAAAGUCAGAGGUUUGGGUUUGAUCCUAAGAACUGUCGGGGAUUGUUGUCAUUGGGUAGUCACAUUUGCAUCAAACGCUUGCAUUCUUUCUGCAGACCUAGCCCGCACAAUAAAGCAAGGCACUGAAGUGGAAGCCUGCAGGUGAAAACCUAGCCCUCCCUUUGAAAACUUGGGAGUCCUGGAAUUUACCCUGUUGAACUCUUAAGAAAAUCCCAGCUGGAAGAGCUGAGAUCCUUUUCAAAGAGGUGGCACCACAUUAACAUACAAGCUGCUUCAAAGCAGAGCUUAGGGCCUUGUGUUGAAGCCGGGUUCAAGGUAUUUAGCAUCCUCACCCGAGGGCUCUGCCUUGCUCGCUGUCUUGCAGCGUUUCUGGUCAGUGCAAGGACAGAGACGCGGUCCUGAGGCAGCUCCCCAGCCCCCAGCCGCUCUGCCCACACUGGGAGAGGGAGCAGGAGCAGCCAGGCUCCCUGAGCUGCAGGUUUUCCUCAGUUCCAAAUCUAAGGAGCCAACAGCGCUGAGACAAAAGUAAUUAUUUCAGCUAUUAGCUAAGAAUAGAGCUGGCGGGGGUGCUGUGCAUGGCUGAGGUGCACUGACAGCACAGUCGGAGGUAGCGGGGAUUGCAGUGGAAGCACAGAAAUAGCCCUUCUCCGCGCUCAGCACUUUGAAGCCUCGUGAGUCACUAAAAUACACGGAGUGGGGGGGAUGCACACACAGGUGGGGUGCAGAGGGAAAUCGACCCUGCCCUCCGUCUAAAACGGAACGUACCCCUGGGCUGGUUGCUGUGUUUUUGCGGGGAGAACGGCGUGUUGCUGAGGAGCCUGUUUUUCCCCAAGGAGAGCAUCUCGCCAGUCACCAGGCAGCGGACCACCCUCACGCUUCCCACCCACCGGAGAGGAGAGCACGGCUGGCGCAGGGGAAACCGCCGGCAGCCCCGAUGCCCGCACCCGCUCAGAGCCCCGGGAGCUCGGUGAUGUGCCAGAGCUGCUUGGUGCGACUGAACCCCCCCGGAGCGGUGCUGUGCAGCAGCACAUCCCUAGCCAUCAGUAGGUGAGCACGAGGGCCCCUCUGCUUGAGCUGCGCACAUCGCUGCUGCCGUGAGAAGGAGCCAGCGACUGAAAGACCUUCUAGCUGGUAAAGAAAAAUCCAUCAAACACUCCUUCCAUAUCUUGGAUUUACCUAACUGAGGAAUAACUCUCUCGCAGGGACAGGGGGAACAGCACAAAUUUCAUUGAAAUGUCUGACUGAACCCGUUCAGGUGUUUUAGGAAAAAAUAAAACAAGCCCCGAUAAAUGUUAGGGCGCAGCCAUCACAGAGGGCAGGGUCUGAGAUGCCAACAGCAUCACGUCCAGGGCCACCAGCCUGGCAGGUGGCACUGCGUGGUGACAGGGGUCUGGGUGUGCUGGGCAGCACAGUGCAAGGAAAAGGGAGCUAGGGAGAGGGUGUGUGUCUGAAAAAUACGUUUUAUUUCUGAGCAGGACUGUCACUUCAGUAAACAGCAUUUUCACUUAACAGCUCAUCAGAAAAGAUUGCCUUUUACAUUUUUGAGACUCUGCACUGAAAGGCAGAUCCAGGAUUUGGGGCUUGCUUUUUGUAUUUUUAAUUAAAACGAGGAAGACGCACCACGGAACAGCUGGUACCUUUGGGCUGGUGGGCGCUCAGCUGGGCUGACAGAAAUUCGCCUGCACAUCCCUGCUUUGAUCUCCACAGCAGACAGUCUUGCAGCUGCAGUCUUCCAUAUCCCAGCUGAUGUUCUAGCAGAGGUUUUGGCUGCCCCGGUUGUCAGUGCUGCUGUCACCUCCCGGCUCCCCGGAGUUACACCCUGGGUACAAGAAAAUCUCCCAUGAAAAGUUUCACCAACGUUCAUAUGAGAAAACAAUAUUUUCCAUUUGGGAAAUGAAGAAACGGAGGAAAAAUGGGUUUAGAAUUUCCUGAGCAGCUUGUUUAGCUGCCUUGGACACAUCCGAGAGCAGACCUCCUCCCUUUGCCCACUGUGUUAUCGGAUGCACCUACAGAAAGGUGCUGCUGCCGUGUGUGUGCGGAGAGGCUUGGCCGAGCUUGGGAACACCCGUGGGUGCGAGGGCACAUCUCAUCGAAUGCAUGUGCCUGCCAGCCCCUGCCUGGAGUGCCUGCUUUCAUAAGCACAAGUGAGAGAUUGGGAAAUCUGCUGUGAUUCAUAGGAAUCGCUUCAGUCCCCACUCCCACCUCCAGCACAGCACCCACGAGUGCCCAGGAGCUGCCAGACACACACGGAGCGAGCACCACGCCUGCCUCCAGCUCAACAUUAAGCAUCGGCUGCUAAGACACACCCGGAAUAUUUAAAACUUGAUGCCACAAAUUAUUUCGUCUUAUCUGAAAAAAAUUCUGGAAAUGCUUAUUACCGAAAAUUAGUCGGGGUGACUUCAUCGGCUCGGCUGAACAAACCGGUGCCGUGGCGUUGUGCCGUCCGUGCCGGGUGCGGUGCUGGCAGGUCCUGGCUGAGCUUUAACACUGCCUUGUCAGCCUGGAAACUGGGAUGUACGUUAUUUUGGCCCAGGAUAAACUAUCUUUGCUUCUGCAGCACUGAGCCACGCUGGCCUCUGGGUCUUAGCUGAGACUUCUAGAUGCUUCUAAAAAAUUUGAAGCUAUUACCUUUUAAAAAUGCUUGUAAAAAAGAGGGAGCAAGAAGAAACUUAUUUCCUGCUUUCUCCUCAAACUGCCAAGGUUUAUUUUUUUUAAACUGCAUCUUUUUGGUCAGUUUUCUUCUGGAGCCUUUCAUACAACAAAGGUACACACCAGUUUAAAAGUCAGGACAGAUAUUUUGUACUUACACAGCAAUAAUAAUUUAAAAAACACUAGUUAAAGUUCUAAAAUCCAAGCUACCUUUAACAAAAUAAAAAUUAAUCUCAAAAAUAUUUUUAUGCACGAGUUGAUUGCUCUUCCCAGCCUGGAAUUAUUUUGCAAACAAAUCUCAAUUAGGGAGUGAAUUUUUCAAUGUUUUUUCCCUAUGAAAAAAGAUAUUGUGAUUUUUCAAGGUAUUUUGAUAUUUUUCUUACUUGGACAAUUCUGAUUAGUCACAUUAGUCCCACUGUAGAUUCCACCCCCCCCCUUUCUAAAAUAGGAGACCAUUGUUUUGAGUGAUUCCUUUUGUAUAAUUCGUAAAGUAGAAAUCAAAACAUUGAGCAUUACAAAACAAAACAGAUGAAAAUACUUUCAGUUUUGCUCAUGUUCCUGCCAACUAUUUUCCUUUUUUUUAAAAAAAAAAAAAAAAAAAAAAGACAACACACACAACAGCUCCUUCUCAGCCCGUACACGACUGUAUUAUUUUACUCCUUUAAAGGGGAAAGGAGAGCUGAGGAUUAGCUCUCAGCUGGCCAGAACAGCCAGCACCUAAGAAAUGGCAAGGACUGGUUUUAAGCCUCUAAGCCAGCUUCUAAUACUAUUUUUCCCCCAAAAAACCCCAAUAAGAGUAUACUGUGAUAAAGAUAGAAACUUUUAAGACAUCUUUAAAUAGGUAUUUUGAACAAGACACCAAAGAUCAGCCAUAUUAUGAAGAGCUGAAUAGUGUGAACACCAUUUGUUUGCCCUGGACACGAGCCUCUGUUCUUCAGAUCUGUUCCCACACUGUCCCUUCCUUAGGGCUGGACCAUCAAAAUGAGGGAUGCCAUGCUUCAAAAGCCAAGGGUGACCUUUCCAGCAGCCCUUUACGUCCUCUGCAUCAAUACCUGUGCACCUGAACUUUCUCUCUUUGGGAAACAGUGAUAGCUUGUGCAGGAAUCAGCCCGGCAGAAACUGUCCUCAGGCUUUGGCACUGCCGUCCGGUGCUGCUGCUCACUGUAAAAGAGAAAUAGCAGCAUCCCAAAGUGAUUCCAUGGAGCUUCCAAAACCACCUGCUGCAUUUAGUCCUUUCUUUGCCUGGGAGGUUUUCAUUUUCACCAAGUCCUGAAGAUGAUGAUGUUCUGGGGACGCUCAGAACCACCAGCGAUGUUGCCUCACCGGCUGCUCCAUCAGGGUCUGUAUCAGCUCCAGACCACUGGUCCAGCUGAAGCUGUCAUCUGCUUUGCCUCCAAGAUGCUGCCAGUCUAGAGUCCCCAACCGACUAUAACCCAGGAACAGAGCUUUUCUCCUCUUGAAAAUGCUGUCUGGCGUUUCUGCCCAUAUCUGUAGGAUGUUCGGCUUUUGAAGAGAUACGUCCAUGGCAGGGUAAAAGAUCCAGGAUACUGAUUCAGGAGUCUGUGGAAUGGGAGUUUGUGCAGGGAAGUGUCUUCUGGCAUUUAGGGUACCCCAUUUCAAUCAUCGAUAGGGUGGGCUCAGGGGGAAUACAGGGAAGCAAACUGGAUAUGACGGGUGAAAAUAAGGCCACCAGAUGUGCACUUGAAUGAGCCAAGAAUGACUGAGACGUAAAUCCCGAUCUUCCCUCUGACACCAUGCUCUUUCAUCAGGGCUACCUCCUGGGAGCUCCGGCAUCCUGGGGGUUUGCUUUUCAGCCUCUCUCUUUAGCAUUUCCCUCUGUGAGAUGUAACAGAAGCUUUCUGUAACGUCUUUUUGGAGAUCUGCAGCUCCUUUGCUGGAGAUGGAGCAUUUCUGCGCCUCUCCACUGCAGCUACAGGUGAGACGUGUAUAAGGGUGGAGGGUGAGCACAGCCUCGACACCAAACCCGCCACCCCUGGGGAUGAAAUCUGGGUUGGGUAAAGCCAUUCCAGCCUUGAAAUGCUGAGGUUAAAAUGAGCUUGUCCAAGAUGACAGCUGCCUUGGGAGGACAGUUCACUGCCUGCACCAAACUUUGAGUACAGAUGAAAACUGCAGCGCUUGAUGCCCAAAUGUACAUGGCCCAAAAUGGGCCAGGGUGCUGGGAGUUUCUUGAGCAUUCAACCUGUUUGCAGACACUGUGGAAAAUGAGUACAUAGUGAGCUGGCAAUGGAGAUGAUAGAAAAUCAGCGAGGCACAUCCAUGGUAAAACAGUGAGGAGUAAAGGAAUGAUCUCAUGAUGUGCAGUGGCUGGGGAAAAAUUACCUGAUUAAAUUUAGAUUUUGUUCAAAGUGAUAGGUUAAAAAAAAACCCUAACACAACCCUAAACGCACAUAUUCAAGUGAUGGUGUUACUCAGAAGUUUGCGGAGAGCUGGCUGCAGGGUGUGGGAAGGACCGUAGCUACCUGCCAUGCCUGGGUGCCCUUCCCUGGGUGCUCCCCACGGGUGCCAUGAAAGGCUGGCUCCUGGCAUGAUGGAUUUGUGCAGUCUCAGCAGGGCAGGACUAAUUCUUAUAUUUGCAUCAUUCCAUUGACGUGACGAACUGUACUGAGCAGGCAGCGUGACGCUCCAUGGUCACAGAACACUGUGAAACUGUAGGAUGCCAGGUAAACACACCAGAGAGACGUUUUAUACUGUAUGUGAACAGUUCCUACUCAUGUCACAGCCCAGUAUAGCCAGCACUGAAAACCACACCAUUAAAACAUGUUGCAAGGGUGCGAAGCCUACGUGAUUCCUUCUAUCUGUGCAUUAUGGAAAUGGCCGGCUGACUGGUAUGCUGUGGAAGGGCCACCACAUGAAAGUGGGGCCAGGUGAGAAAGUAUAGCACCAUAAAAGAAAUGCAAAGUCACAGUUUAAAGGCAGAUAUUUCUUUCCCAGGAUACGAAUGUAAUUCCUACAGCAAAAAGAACAAAAGCUUCCUUCUGUAAACCUGUUUCACAGAGACCACGAGAUGGGGAAAUCUAUCACGCUUAGGUAACACUGGGAAGGAGCUACUCUGGGUGGCCCAGCGUUAAUGUCCUGGUGAGCUUCGAGGCUGGAGAUUUAGUCAGGCAAUGACCGGACAGAAUGGCAGUGAUGGAAACUGUGAAAGCCCACAAACCUUACAGCUUCGGACCCUCGCAAAGAACGAGAGACAGAGAUUGUGUUAUUAAGACCACACAGGUUUGUUUGAGAAGGACCUACUGCCUUCUAAUAGCCUGGGGGAAAAAAAAAAAAAACCCAACCAAAAAACGACUUUCCAUCUCCAUGGUAAGCCCUUCCUCCAAAGCACUUUUAAUGCAAUUUGUUUCCUGUUCCUCUGUUUCUCUGAUGGUUUUAGAACAGUUGAGGCUGAAGUGCUGGUAACACCUACAGCAGGACCGUGGAUGAGAACCCACGUCUUUGCCUUUGACAGCAAGGGAUAGGAGCUUCUGUCCCCUCCAAGGGGAUAACCCACGUUACCAUCGCUAAACUGAAUAUAUGUGCGGAAUGAUUACUGCCGGCAGAAAAAAAGUCACAGGCAAAGUAUCUGCAGAAGACAGAAAGAGAGGACCAGCACCGCUCCAGCCUCUCUCCUUGCAGGAGCUGGUACACAAGUCACUUCUGGCAGAGCUUCCAUCUCGGGAUGGAUCCCUCUGUCGUGCAAAGGGCCUUGGCUUGUGAUGGUAAUUUUAUCGUGGGUAACUACCCGUGCUGGCCUUUGCUGCCCUUAGCAUUAACACACCCUUCCGUGUUACUUGCCUUGCCUGCUCGUCUCAGAGGGCAGGCGGGGUGAGGGCUCAGCAGGGCCAGCCAGGGCAAUGCCGGCUUGUAAAACCCUGCUCCAGGCUGACAGAGCGAUACUAAGAAAGGGAAUUAUCCUGAGCACAAAUUCUCAAAAGGACCGUGAACGCGGCCGCAGGACACUUCGUUAGCAACUGAUAAUGUAGGACACGGGGGGUUGCAGCGCAGAGGGUCGCACAGGGCACCGAGUGUCCCGCAGCAGCCGACUCCAGCCCGCUACCGCUUGCCAUGGGAGCUCUCAGCUGCUCCCAGUCUCUCCCGGGGCUCCCCCUCUUCAU
Long non-coding RNA from Falco peregrinus (peregrine falcon), 20018 nucleotides. RefSeq lists it as uncharacterized. Lineage: Eukaryota; Metazoa; Chordata; Aves; Falconiformes; Falconidae. The transcript has 7 exons. The record is from RefSeq and is a predicted model, not a curated record.